AAGACUGCUUUAAGUCAUCAAUCUUGUUAAAGAGGACUUCGAUCUGCUCUGCAUUGGCCUUCUGAAUUUGUAGAGCUUCUGCCUUCUGAUCUUGUAUGGCCUUCUGAUAUAUGAUAUCUCUCUCUUGGAGUUUGAGUGAUAUCUCAGCCAUAGCAGCUUGAAGCUUGUGCUGGAAGGAAUUAUCUCCUCCUACUGUUAGCUUCUAU
This 206-nucleotide long non-coding RNA is filed under the name Panax ginseng (ginseng). Its description in RNAcentral is "long non-coding RNA (PGIN_LNC012042)". The record is from RNAcentral. Lineage: Eukaryota; Viridiplantae; Streptophyta; Magnoliopsida; Apiales; Araliaceae.